UGAUUAUGCCUAGGACUUUGCUUCACCAAUUGCUUAAAACUUUCCUAAGCUUCAUACAAAUGUUCACCAAACUGUUGAUUAAAAUUAAGAAUGUUGGCUCUAGAAUCA
Small nucleolar RNA from Prosopis cineraria, 108 nucleotides. NCBI's taxonomy places the organism in Eukaryota, Viridiplantae, Streptophyta, Magnoliopsida, Fabales, Fabaceae. The record is from RefSeq and is a predicted model, not a curated record.